AGUCUGACAAACAAAUUGCAGGAGACCCUAUAGAUAGAUCUGUUUCAGUCUAACAAACAAAUUGCAGGAGACCCUACAUAUACUCACUCUAUCGCACAAAUGAAUGACAUCUAGAUCUAGGUACAUCCAUUCUUACGGACAGGGGGAGUAUGUUUCAGUCUGUACUAAUUGCAGGGACAACCUAUAGAUGGGUUCCAGUCUGUAAUAAACAGCAUUUCAUCACCAUUAUCCACAUUUGCAGCAGAUUGAUUAUUCUAAGACCCAUACCCAAUUAUUAUGUGGACGAAAAUGAUAUUCAAAUCUGUAGAAAGUAAACUUUUCGCCUUUGCUAACAGAAAGCAGGCAUGGCGGGACCGCCGGAACAAUACGAGAUACGGUGCAGGAGGCACCGCUUCUGGGGCUACUACACAUUGGAUCAGUUCCAGCGCCACCAACAUGACCAUGCCCGGGAGGAAGCGCUCAGACGCGCUAAGGAUCAACUUCACCGGGACCAGGCAGCCAGGAAGAGGGCUGCACAAGCAGCAAAGAAGGCAAGGCAGUCCCAGCAGAAAGAUAAGGGAGCAGCCUCACAUAAGAAGGGCAAGGGGCCUGCAAACAAGGCCAAAAAGUGACCGUAAGUCAAAAGGAACAAAACAGAAACAAUGUGGUUUUAACUUGAAAAAAAAAAGAAAAAUGUGGUUUCAAAAGUAUUAUUAUAAAGAUACUAAUGGAUGAAUCUUAACUUUUGUAGGGGUUCCAGAAUGGGAAGACGACACUAGAGUGAUGGCAAUUAAGUGGCAGAAUGCCUAUGGUCCUUUCCGUGAAUAACAAAGACCGUCAACCGUCAAAUUACUGUUGAAGUCUUCUACUUUUUCCUGAACUCUGGAUAUGCUACAGUUUACUGUUAAAGUUUUCAAGUGUUAAAUAGUCUAAACUCUGCAUAUGAUACAGCUUACUGUUAAAGUUUCCAAGUGUUAAAUAGUCUAAACUCUGCAUAUGCUACUAUUGAAUAGUCUGUUGAGAAGUGGCAGUCACAAGUACCCAAGGCCAUUUUGUGCUAUGAAAAAUUCUGUUGCAUGACUUUACAAUAUUACUCCCUCAAUUCCUAAAUAUAAGUCUUUUUAGAGGUUCCACUAGGAGGCUACAUACGAAUGUAUAUAGACAUACUUUAGAGUGUAGAUUCACUCAUUUUGCUCCGUAUGUAGUCCCUUGGUGAAAUCUCUAAAAAGACUUGUAUUUAGGAACGGAGGGAGUAGCAUUCAAGCUAGUAGAUCUAGUCCAGUAGCAGUAAAAUGAACUCAUUUAUACCCACCAGAACACCAAACUUAGGCUGAGAGUGGUUACAAAGCAGAGCAUAUUUUUAGCUACGGAAAAGUGAACAAAGAAAAUGGACAAUAAACGAGGGUCACGAUCCUGUAAACAAGAAUUUUACCUGCGUAGUGAUUCAUUAGAUAUUUUCAUGUGUAGUGAUUCAUUAGAUAGAAUCCAUUUGACAAUGUACUUGCGCGCCAUCAUGUAUUCUGCAUUUAAGGGUUUGCCAGGUUUAAUUAUGCAAACCUUGACCAACAACUGCAUUAGCAUCACUCCUUCUCACUGCCUUUAAGCCUGCCAUCAGGACCACACAGCAUAGGAUCAUUUAGCGCUCGCUUUUACGGCAGAGAAAAAUAGCAGUCCAGGAAUGUGUAGUUUCAAUCAACAACUGUUCCCUAUCAUAUAUGGACAAGCACUUAAAUUGAACUUAACACUACCUUAUAUUAACGAGACACAACAACAUUUUCUUCUAUUUCUUUUAGCAAAUGCAUCAAAAUGCAUUUAGUUGCACUAUGGUUCUGUGAACUAUCAAGAACAAUCUAGUGGUGGUAUAACUAGUGAUGGUAUGAUAGUUUAAAGGUCUGGUCAUACAACAGCUUAAUGCAAAUGGAUGAGAUAAGCCAAAGGAUUUAACCACACACAGUGAUGUAGAUACCCAUUUAAACCGAAUUGUGACAAGUGAUGAUGUCAUUUUGAGUUGAAGUACUUAGCUGAUAAAAAACAUAUGAAGAUUUAAGCACACAUUAGUGAUGUUGAUGUUCAUUUAAAAUUAUGUACUGAUCUUUUGAAAACAGUUAAAUAUGUUCCAGAAAAGCAUACACACUAGAAGAAGGCAGGAUGGCGCCUGGAACUAAUCGCUGACUACUUGAGCCAAACAAGCACGAAGGAGUUUGCAAGAUGGUUCCUAGUCUACUCACACUAGGCAACCUUUUGCAACAGGCACAACAGAUAUUAUGGCUUAUCCAGGGCCACAACAUGGUAGGCUAUAAAAUGACCUACCAAAACGUCUUAUAUUUCGAUACGGACCUAGUACAUCAUUAAGGCCCAGCAGUUUGAUCGUCCAACAAAAAUCACACAAAAUUGCAAGCACGCAAGGAAGUACCUCUAGGACCUCUGUUGUCAACCCAUAUGGUGGACCGUACUGCAUCAGUAACACCAAUAGUCUCAGUGCCCUUUAGCUCCGAGUUCCUCUGCAGUUAAUGUUUAACAAACUUAGUAACCAUAUUCAUUUUACAUAAAUUAUACUCCCUCUGUACCUAAAUACUUGUAGUUGGGGAGAACAAUUGCAUCAUUUUAGAUUAUUUUUAAUCCUCAUACUGCCUUGGUUAUCCACAUUUUGAUCCCUUAUUUAAUCUGAAAUUCAUUCAGCAAAGCAGCAGAUAGUACUUACUUGAUAGACAGGUACCCACCCUGAAAUCAGAUGGUUCCUUGUUUGUUUUGGUCAGAUGCUUCUUAUUAAUUAGAACUGUUUAGACCAAAUGAACGGGGUGAUGUUCUUGCUAGAGUCACACACAAAAAAGAUCGCUGAUGUCGGGGUUAACCCAUGAUGCCCUUAUGCAUGCAAAAUCCAUCUUCAAGCACCCAUGUAACCAUGGCUUCAACCUUCUCUCUUUUCAGCUUAAGAUGCAUGGGUUGUAAGACCUAAUUUUCAGGUAGACAAAAAUCCACUGUCAUAAAUGAGAAUACAUAAGUAUUAAAGGGGCAAAAAUUCACUUAAUUAGAAAUCAGGAAUUUUUAUUUUGUUGCCUAGUUCUUUUCUCAAAGCUUAUAGAAUAAUAUUCAGAAAGCUAGUUACUGAAUAGUUUAGUGCUUACCUUUUACUCAAUAAAGAAUAUUGGGCUGUAUUGUCCAUUCACAUCAUGAGACACGUAGUCUCCGCUUUCUGUUGCUAGGCAGCUCAUGUACUCAUCACACUGCAGAUGCUUCACUUUCCUGCAUGUUAAAUAUGUUAAAGUCAGUUUUUAAAUAAAAAAACAUGUUGCGCAAGCAGUGAAACAAAAUCACAGAACAAAAAUAAUCAACAAUUGGCAAUUCCUAAAGGAUUUUUCAUGAUUUUCCUAUAAACCUUUCUUGAUUUACAUAUUUUGCUAGCAAGUUAUUAUGCAGCGACAUAUCUCCCUCCUGCUGAACGGUAUCAUCAAUGUUACUCCCUCCGUUCUUAAAUACUAUACUCCCUCCGCCCGGAAAUACUUGUUAUAAGAAUGGAUGUAUCUAGAUGUAUUUUAGUUCUAGAUACAUCGUUUUCUAUCCAUUUGUGCAACAAGUACUUCCGGACGGAGGGAGUAUAAGUCUUUCUAAAGAUUUCACUACGGACUACGUACGGAGCAAAAUGAGUGAACCUACACUGUAAAAUAUUGUAUGUAGUCCGUGGUGAAAGCUCUAGAAGGACUUAUAUUUAGGAACGGAGGGAGUAGAUAAUACUACCUCCGUCCGGAAUAACUUGUCGAGCAAAUAAAUAAAAAUGGAUGCAUCUAAAAUCAAGAUGCAUCCAUUCUUAUGACGAGUAUUUCCGGACACCUCCGUCACAGGUUGUAAGACGUUUUUUAGGCUAUUAGUUACCUAGCCUAAUAGUCUACUCCCUCCGUUCCUAAAUAUAAGUUUUUUUAGAGGUUUCACUGAGAAACUACAUGCGGAUGUAUAAAGACAUGCUUUAGAGUGUAGAUUCACUCAUUUUACUUCGUACGUAUUUUCCUAGUGAAAUCUCUAAAAAGACUCACACUCCCUUCGUGCCUAAAUAAUUGUAAGCUAGUUCUCCCCAACUACAAUUAUGUAGGUACAGGGGAAGUAUUUAGGAACAGAGGGAGUGUAUGUACCAAAUAAGUACAACACACGGGGAAAAUUGAUCGGCGAUCGAAGUAUAGUGUAGGAGUGGAUCUGUUCACCACAGGCCAAUGAAUGAUUUCUGUAUGAAUUACUACCAUUGUAAUGCAAGCACAGAUGGACUCCUUCUAAUGCACCACGUACAGUACAUGAUUGCAGUAUAGAUGAUUCGAAGAGGAAACAACCCUUCUAAUGCACGCGCUUUGUAGAAUCAGGCAUUGAGAAGGCACGCAUAAUUGACAUUUUGCCAGAGAGAGGCAGCCUCGCAGUGAGAUCCAACCCAUCCUAGAACGAACUACCCAUGGGGGAAAGCGGCGGCCAGGCAGAUCCCAACCCGCGGCAGGUAAAAAUCCCAUCUUUACGAACGAAUCGGGCAUGGAGACCCCGGAACGAGAAAAUAAUAGUGCCCAAAUCCACAGAUCCCAAAUCGUCUAGAGAUAGAUCUAUCGCGAUGAAACCUAUAUGACGUGACCGAUUAGUGCAUAAAGGCGUCACCUUUACGAAGAUCCAGCGCCGGGGGGCGUCCACCGGCCGUUGUUCGUCCGGCCUGGGCGCAGAUCUGGCGACGGCCGAACCGCGUGGACGAAUCAGGGGGGAAAGAGAGACGGUGAGCGGAGGUUGAAGAUGGAGGGGAGAGGAAUUGGCGUGGACAGGGCACGAUGGCCUUGCCUGGCGGCGGCGUUCGGGGCGGGGGAGGCCAUGGCGCGGCGGCGAUGGGGCGCAUGAGGAGAGGAGAGGACGAGAACGAGGACGAGAGAGGGCUGGCUAGGUUUGGGGGUCGUGGGUGGGUUGGGUGUGGGCGAAGGAGAGACGGUGGAUACUGUAAGUCUUUUGCGAGGAGGCGAUUGCGCUGCGUGCGAUCUCCUUCGCUGUUGCGGACGCCUAGCGAGACCAGCCCGCACACGUUUCCACGCUUGCGACGUGUG
RNAcentral lists this long non-coding RNA (5036 nucleotides) under Hordeum vulgare. Its description in RNAcentral is "long non-coding RNA (HVUL_LNC021215)". The stretch from base 3455 to 3579 matches the Rfam family "MIR1120/MIR1122 microRNA precursor family". The record is from RNAcentral. Lineage: Eukaryota; Viridiplantae; Streptophyta; Magnoliopsida; Poales; Poaceae.